UUAAGCGACUAAGCGUACACGGUGGAUGCCCUGGCAGUCAGAGGCGAUGAAGGACGUGCUAAUCUGCGAUAAGCGUCGGUAAGGUGAUAUGAACCGUUAUAACCGGCGAUUUCCGAAUGGGGAAACCCAGUGUGAUUCGUAACACUAUCAUUAACUGAAUCCAUAGGUUAAUGAGGCGAACCGGGGGAACUGAAACAUCUAAGUACCCCGAGGAAAAGAAAUCAACCGAGAUUCCCCCAGUAGCGGCGAGCGAACGGGGAGCAGCCCAGAGCCUGAAUCAGUGUGUGUGUUAGUGGAAGCGUCUGGAAAGGCGCGCGAUACAGGGUGACAGCCCCGUACACAAAAAUGCACAUACUGUGAGCUCGAUGAGUAGGGCGGGACACGUGGUAUCCUGUCUGAAUAUGGGGGGACCAUCCUCCAAGGCUAAAUACUCCUGACUGACCGAUAGUGAACCAGUACCGUGAGGGAAAGGCGAAAAGAACCCCGGCGAGGGGAGUGAAAAAGAACCUGAAACCGUGUACGUACAAGCAGUGGGAGCACAGAGCAAUCUGUGUGACUGCGUACCUUUUGUAUAAUGGGUCAGCGACUUAUAUUCUGUAGCAAGGUUAACCGAAUAGGGGAGCCGAAGGGAAACCGAGUCUUAACUGGGCGUUAAGUUGCAGGGUAUAGACCCGAAACCCGGUGAUCUAGCCAUGGGCAGGUUGAAGGUUGGGUAACACUAACUGGAGGACCGAACCGACUAAUGUUGAAAAAUUAGCGGAUGACUUGUGGCUGGGGGUGAAAGGCCAAUCAAACCGGGAGAUAGCUGGUUCUCCCCGAAAGCUAUUUAGGUAGCGCCUCGUGAAUUCAUCUCCGGGGGUAGAGCACUGUUUCGGCAAGGGGGUCAUCCCGACUUACCAACCCGAUGCAAACUGCGAAUACCGGAGAAUGUUAUCACGGGAGACACACGGCGGGUGCUAACGUCCGUCGUGAAGAGGGAAACAACCCAGACCGCCAGCUAAGGUCCCAAAGUCAUGGUUAAGUGGGAAACGAUGUGGGAAGGCCCAGACAGCCAGGAUGUUGGCUUAGAAGCAGCCAUCAUUUAAAGAAAGCGUAAUAGCUCACUGGUCGAGUCGGCCUGCGCGGAAGAUGUAACGGGGCUAAACCAUGCACCGAAGCUGCGGCAGCGACGCUUAUGCGUUGUUGGGUAGGGGAGCGUUCUGUAAGCCUGUGAAGGUGUACUGUGAGGUAUGCUGGAGGUAUCAGAAGUGCGAAUGCUGACAUAAGUAACGAUAAAGCGGGUGAAAAGCCCGCUCGCCGGAAGACCAAGGGUUCCUGUCCAACGUUAAUCGGGGCAGGGUGAGUCGACCCCUAAGGCGAGGCCGAAAGGCGUAGUCGAUGGGAAACAGGUUAAUAUUCCUGUACUUGGUGUUACUGCGAAGGGGGGACGGAGAAGGCUAUGUUGGCCGGGCGACGGUUGUCCCGGUUUAAGCGUGUAGGCUGGUUUUCCAGGCAAAUCCGGAAAAUCAAGGCUGAGGCGUGAUGACGAGGCACUACGGUGCUGAAGCAACAAAUGCCCUGCUUCCAGGAAAAGCCUCUAAGCAUCAGGUAACAUCAAAUCGUACCCCAAACCGACACAGGUGGUCAGGUAGAGAAUACCAAGGCGCUUGAGAGAACUCGGGUGAAGGAACUAGGCAAAAUGGUGCCGUAACUUCGGGAGAAGGCACGCUGAUAUGUAGGUGAAGUCCCUCGCGGAUGGAGCUGAAAUCAGUCGAAGAUACCAGCUGGCUGCAACUGUUUAUUAAAAACACAGCACUGUGCAAACACGAAAGUGGACGUAUACGGUGUGACGCCUGCCCGGUGCCGGAAGGUUAAUUGAUGGGGUCAGCGCAAGCGAAGCUCUUGAUCGAAGCCCCGGUAAACGGCGGCCGUAACUAUAACGGUCCUAAGGUAGCGAAAUUCCUUGUCGGGUAAGUUCCGACCUGCACGAAUGGCGUAAUGAUGGCCAGGCUGUCUCCACCCGAGACUCAGUGAAAUUGAACUCGCUGUGAAGAUGCAGUGUACCCGCGGCAAGACGGAAAGACCCCGUGAACCUUUACUAUAGCUUGACACUGAACAUUGAGCCUUGAUGUGUAGGAUAGGUGGGAGGCUUUG
RNAcentral lists this ribosomal RNA (2133 nucleotides) under Escherichia coli KTE91. RNAcentral describes it as "bacterial LSU rRNA". It matches the Rfam family "Bacterial large subunit ribosomal RNA", at positions 1 to 2159 of the family's 2925-position model. The record is from RNAcentral. Lineage: Bacteria; Pseudomonadati; Pseudomonadota; Gammaproteobacteria; Enterobacterales; Enterobacteriaceae.